GGAUGAACGCUAGCGGCAGGCCUAACACAUGCAAGUCGAACGGUAACAUGAGAGCUUGCUCUUGAUGACGAGUGGCGCACGGGUGCGUAACGCGUAUGCAACCUACCUUUUACUGAGGGAUAGCCCAGAGAAAUUUGGAUUAAUACCUCAUAGUAUCAUAAGUGUUCAUGCAUUAAUGAUUAAAACUUCGGUGGUAAAAGAUGGGCAUGCGUAAGAUUAGCUAGUUGGUAAGGUAACGGCUUACCAAGGCUACGAUCUUUAGGGGGCCUGAGAGGGUGGUCCCCCACACUGGUACUGAGACACGGACCAGACUCCUACGGGAGGCAGCAGUGAGGAAUAUUGGUCAAUGGACGAAAGUCUGAACCAGCCAUGCCGCGUGCAGGAAGACGGCCCUAUGGGUUGUAAACUGCUUUUAUAUGGGAAGAAACCCUCGAACGUGUUCGAGGCUGACGGUACCAUUUGAAUAAGCACCGGCUAACUCCGUGCCAGCAGCCGCGGUAAUACGGAGGGUGCAAGCGUUAUCCGGAUUUAUUGGGUUUAAAGGGUCCGUAGGCGGAUUUUUAAGUCAGUGGUGAAAGCCUGCAGCUCAACUGCAGAACUGCCAUUGAUACUGGGAAUCUUGAGUAUAUUUGAAGUGGGCGGAAUGUGUCAUGUAGCGGUGAAAUGCAUAGAUAUGACACAGAACACCGAUUGCGAAGGCAGCUCACUAAACUAUAACUGACGCUGAGGGACGAAAGCGUGGGGAGCGAACAGGAUUAGAUACCCUGGUAGUCCACGCCGUAAACGAUCAUCACUCGCUGUUGGCGAUACACUGUCAGCGGCCAAGCGAAAGCAUUAAGUGAUGCACCUGGGAAGUACGGUCGCAAGAUUGAAACUCAAAGGAAUUGACGGGGGCCCGCACAAGCGGUGGAGCAUGUGGUUUAAUUCGAUGAUACGCGAGGAACCUUACCAGGGCUUAAAUGCAGAAUGACAGGAUGGGAAACCAUUUUUUCUUCGGACAUUUUGCAAGGUGCUGCAUGGUUGUCGUCAGCUCGUGCCGUGAGGUGUCAGGUUAAGUCCUAUAACGAGCGCAACCCCUAUCUUAGUUGCCAGCGGGUUAAGCCGGGGACUCUAAAGAAACUGCCAGCGCAAGCUGUGAGGAAGGUGGGGAUGACGUCAAAUCAUCACGGCCCUUACGUCCUGGGCUACACACGUGCUACAAUGGUAGAGACAGAGGGCAGCCACCACGCGAGUGGGAGCGAAUCCUUAAACUCUAUCUCAGUUCGGAUUGGAGUCUGCAACUCGACUCCAUGAAGCUGGAAUCGCUAGUAAUCGCGCAUCAGCCAUGGCGCGGUGAAUACGUUCCCGGGCCUUGUACUCACCGCCC
RNAcentral lists this ribosomal RNA (1366 nucleotides) under uncultured prokaryote. Its description in RNAcentral is "partial 16S ribosomal RNA". It matches the Rfam family "Bacterial small subunit ribosomal RNA", at positions 27 to 1395 of the family's 1533-position model. The record is from RNAcentral.